UUCCGGGCGCCGCAGAGAGCAUCCUGAGGUUGGAGGGCAGCGUUGCUGACGUUUUUACGCGGCGCCGAAGCCUCGGGUCUGGUUGGAUUCUUUGUCACUGAGAAAGACACUUGGAAGACAGGACAGGACUCAGCUAACACAGAAGCCGCCUGCUAAACUGGAGCAAUGAGUCUGCUUCCCAGCUUCCUGAGCCCCAGGAAUAUCACUCCUGGCACAAACCCAUGACAGUAAGCCAGCAGAAAUCCAUUUACCUUCCUUUGGAGCGGGAAUUUUGGAGUUGACUGAUCGGCGUUUUUGUUUCUGAAAAACAAAACAAACCACCACAAUAUAUGGCUCUUAUCAAUUCUUAAAGGCCUAUCUUGGGCCAAUCUAUGUGCUGUGCUGAAGUCCUAAGCAGUCCCAGAAAACAAAACAGCAGAGAACCAAACAGCCAAGAGAAUCCUCUGGGGCACUGGCUGUGCCAGAUGACAGGCACCUACCUGAACCACUACGUUCUCCUGCAGGGGCAGAUUGUCCUUUGGGUGUAAGGGAAGAAGCUGUAAGAGUUCUGGGUUUAUUGCAGCCACAUCAUCAAAAUCAAUCUGCAAGGAGCAAAUAAAAGUUUCUGUGGAACAACAUAGCUUGUUUAAUCCAAUUGCAUCUCUGCAAACAAGGCCACCCCUAGAUUCAGACUUUAUAAACUUUAAGUUCCACCAAGUCCUAAUAGCUAUAAACAAAUAUUUAUUCUCUAGUCAUGUUUUACCAUCUAGAUGAAUACUGGUUUCUGAUUUCCAAGCCAAUGGUAGAUGUCAGUGAUGAGAAUAAGUGACGAGGAAGGCAGACAGGCAGGCAGUCAGGUAGUCCACAGUAGAUCUAGGCCACUCGGCUCCCUUACUGUUCUACAAGGCAGUGGGGUCCUGCUGAGGACAGCCCCCUGGGCACCUCUUGCUGGCUGACACAGAGGAGGAAACAAGUUCUAACUGUCCCGCUGAUAGUCAAAUGAAGGGCCCUAGGAUCUUAUAGGCAGGGACAAGUUCCCAAGAGCUGCUACCUAAUCCUAAAUCUACCUACAUUUUCUACUGGGCCCAGAAACUACUUCCCCAGUCACAGUGUCCUGCUCAUGCCUUCCCUACUUCCUGCUCAUGCCUGCAAUGAAGUCACAAUUCUAGGUUUACAUCACCAGAGUCCUGAAACCCUCUAGGUACAACUCAAACUUCAUCAGCAUACUUCACAGCAGGUUCAAACACAGGAAAAUAGUACCAACUUGGUUAUUUGUGUUUCAGAAUGUGACAGAGCUGAAGAAGGUACUCCAAGGUAAGAGCUUUGCCUCUUUUUUUUUUUUUUUUUUUUU
Long non-coding RNA from Camelus dromedarius (Arabian camel), 1330 nucleotides. RefSeq lists it as uncharacterized. The record is from RefSeq and is a predicted model, not a curated record. Lineage: Eukaryota; Metazoa; Chordata; Mammalia; Artiodactyla; Camelidae. The transcript has 2 exons.